This 292-nucleotide ribosomal RNA is filed under the name uncultured bacterium. RNAcentral describes it as "partial 16S ribosomal RNA". It matches the Rfam family "Bacterial small subunit ribosomal RNA", at positions 505 to 796 of the family's 1533-position model. The record is from RNAcentral.
GUGCCAGCAGCCGCGGUAAUACGUAGGAUCCGAGCGUUGUCCGGAAUUACUGGGUGUAAAGGGAGCGCAGGCGGGUCUAUAAGUCGACGGUGAAAUCUUCCAGCUCAACUGGAAAACUGCCGCCGAUACUGUAGAUCUUGAAUAUGUCAGAGGGAAACGGAAUUCAUGGUGUAGCGGUGAAAUGCGUAGAUAUCAUGAAGAACACCAGUCGCGAAGGCGGUUUCCUGGGACAUUAUUGACGCUCAUGCUCGAAAGUGUGGGGAGCAAACAGGAUUAGAUACCCCCGUAGUCC